This 72-nucleotide transfer RNA is filed under the name Pangasius djambal. RNAcentral's name for it is "tRNA-Glu". It matches the Rfam family "tRNA". From Rfam's summary of the family: Transfer RNA (tRNA) molecules are approximately 80 nucleotides in length. Their secondary structure includes four short double-helical elements and three loops (D, anti-codon, and T loops). The record is from RNAcentral. Lineage: Eukaryota; Metazoa; Chordata; Actinopteri; Siluriformes; Pangasiidae.
UCCCUGGAGGACUAGUGGUUAGGCCACAGUGCUCUCACUGCUGCGGCCCAGGUUCGAUUCCCGGCCAGGGAC